Molecule: ribosomal RNA, 429 nt
Filed under: uncultured archaeon
Lineage: Archaea
Description: bacterial SSU rRNA
Rfam family: Archaeal small subunit ribosomal RNA
Source: RNAcentral
UACCAGCUCUCCGAGUGGUGUGGAUGUUUAUUGGGCCUAAAGCAUCCGUAGCUGGCUGGACAAGUCCCCUGUUAAAUCCACCGAUUUAAUCGUUGGAGUGCGGGGGAUACUGUUCGGCUAGGGGACGGGAGAGGCAGACGGUAUUUUCGGGGUAGGGGUGAAAUCCUAUAAUCCCGGGAAGACCACCAGUGGCGAAGGCUGUCUGCUAGAACGCGCCCGACGGUGAGGGAUGAAAGCUGGGGGAGCGAACCGGAUUAGAUACCCGGGUAGUCCCAGCUGUAAACGAUGCAGGCUAGGUGUUUGGGCGGCCACGUGCCGCUCUAGUGCCGCAAGGAAGCUGUUAAGCCUGCCGCCUGGGGAGUACGGCCGCAAGGCUGAAACUUAAAGGAAUUGGCGGGGGAGCACCACAAGGGGUGAAGCUUGCGGUUU